This 264-nucleotide unclassified non-coding RNA is filed under the name Hevea brasiliensis (rubber tree). Lineage: Eukaryota; Viridiplantae; Streptophyta; Magnoliopsida; Malpighiales; Euphorbiaceae. The record is from RNAcentral.
CUCUUGUUUCCAAGCUGGAUUUCUCCCCUCACUAAUUUGGUCGGACUCACAAUUCAUAACUGCAAAAAAUGCCUGCAUUUUCCACCGCUGGAUGAGUUCCCUUCACUUAAACUUUUGGCGAUCGAGAAUUUCGCUGAUCUGGAGUUCAUAGAGAGUGGAACUGAUAGCGGCAAUGCAUUAUUCUUCCCUUCCUUGGAGAAACUCUUGCUCUCAAAUUGCCAAAAUCUGAAGGGAUGGAGGGGGGAUACAUCCACGCCUCAGUUG